GUCGAGCGGAAACGAGUUAUCUGAACCUUCGGGGAACGAUAACGGCGUCGAGCGGCGGACGGGUGAGUAAUGCCUAGGAAAUUGCCCUGAUGUGGGGGAUAACCAUUGGAAACGAUGGCUAAUACCGCAUGAUGCCUACGGGCCAAAGAGGGGGACCUUCGGGCCUCUCGCGUCAGGAUAUGCCUAGGUGGGAUUAGCUAGUUGGUGAGGUAAGGGCUCACCAAGGCGACGAUCCCUAGCUGGUCUGAGAGGAUGAUCAGCCACACUGGAACUGAGACACGGUCCAGACUCCUACGGGAGGCAGCAGUGGGGAAUAUUGCACAAUGGGCGCAAGCCUGAUGCAGCCAUGCCGCGUGUGUGAAGAAGGCCUUCGGGUUGUAAAGCACUUUCAGUCGUGAGGAAGGUAGUGUAGUUAAUAGCUGCAUUAUUUGACGUUAGCGACAGAAGAAGCACCGGCUAACUCCGUGCCAGCAGCCGCGGUAAUACGGAGGGUGCGAGCGUUAAUCGGAAUUACUGGGCGUAAAGCGCAUGCAGGUGGUUUGUUAAGUCAGAUGUGAAAGCCCGGGGCUCAACCUCGGAAUUGCAUUUGAAACUGGCAGACUAGAGUACUGUAGAGGGGGGUAGAAUUUCAGGUGUAGCGGUGAAAUGCGUAGAGAUCUGAAGGAAUACCGGUGGCGAAGGCGGCCCCCUGGACAGAUACUGACACUCAGAUGCGAAAGCGUGGGGAGCAAACAGGAUUAGAUACCCUGGUAGUCCACGCCGUAAACGAUGUCUACUUGGAGGUUGUGGCCUUGAGCCGUGGCUUUCGGAGCUAACGCGUUAAGUAGACCGCCUGGGGAGUACGGUCGCAAGAUUAAAACUCAAAUGAAUUGACGGGGGCCCGCACAAGCGGUGGAGCAUGUGGUUUAAUUCGAUGCAACGCGAAGAACCUUACCUACUCUUGACAUCCAGAGAACUUUCCAGAGAUGGAUUGGUGCCUUCGGGAACUCUGAGACAGGUGCUGCAUGGCUGUCGUCAGCUCGUGUUGUGAAAUGUUGGGUUAAGUCCCGCAACGAGCGCAACCCUUAUCCUUGUUUGCCAGCGAGUAAUGUCGGGAACUCCAGGGAGACUGCCGGUGAUAAACCGGAGGAAGGUGGGGACGACGUCAAGUCAUCAUGGCCCUUACGAGUAGGGCUACACACGUGCUACAAUGGCGCAUACAGAGGGCGGCCAACUUGCGAAAGUGAGCGAAUCCCAAAAAGUGCGUCGUAGUCCGGAUUGGAGUCUGCAACUCGACUCCAUGAAGUCGGAAUCGCUAGUAAUCGUGGAUCAGAAUGCCACGGUGAAUACGUUCCCGGGCCUUGUACACACCGCCCGUCACACCAUGGGAGUGGGCUGCAAAAGAAGUAGGUAGUUUAACCUUCGGGGGGACGCU
Molecule: ribosomal RNA, 1414 nt
Filed under: Vibrio parahaemolyticus
Lineage: Bacteria; Pseudomonadati; Pseudomonadota; Gammaproteobacteria; Vibrionales; Vibrionaceae
Description: bacterial SSU rRNA
Rfam family: Bacterial small subunit ribosomal RNA
Source: RNAcentral